UUCUUUUAUUUCUCCCUUAUUCCCUCUUUCUUUCCCUCAUUUCAAUUUUGCUGCUCUCUUCCCAUUUUCUCUGCUACACUUGUGCACCUUGACCCUCUCUCCAGCAACCAUGAACGCCUCCAUCAUUGAUCCGUUGCAGGGCGAUUUCCCUGAAGUGAUAGAGGAGUAUUUGGAAUAUGGUUGUAUGAAAUGCAUUGCCUUCAAUCGCCGUGGCACCCUUCUUGCUGCUGGAUGCAACAAUGGAAGUUGUGUUAUUUGGGAUUUUGAAACCAGAGGCAUUGCUAAGAUUCUGCGUGAUGAUGAAUGUUCUUCUCCCAUAACUAGCAUUUGCUGGUCAAAGUAUGGUCAUCAAAUUCUUGUAUCUGCUGCUGAUAAAUCAUUGAUAUUGUGGGAUGUUAUGAGUAGUAAGAAGAUAACACGGAUAGUUUUGCAACAAACCCCUCUACAAGCUCGUCUUCAUCCAGGAUCCUCGACCCCAUCUCUUUGCUUAGCAUGUCCUCUUUCAUGUGCUCCAAUGAUUGUUGAUCUGAACACAGGAAACACAACUUUACUUAAAGUUUCUGUCUUAGAGACAUGCAAUGGACCAACACCAACCCCUCCUUCACGUAAUAAAUGUUCUGAUGGAAUUACCUCCUUCACACCAACUGCUGCUUGUUUUAAUAAGUAUGGGACUCUGGUUUAUGUGGGAAACUCAAAAGGGGAAAUUCUUGCCAUUGAUUACAAAAAUGGUGACGUGCGUGCUGUAGUUCCAAUCUCUGGUGGUUCUGUUGUAAAGAACAUUGUGUUCAGCAGGAAUGGGCAGUAUCUGCUCACAAAUUCAAAUGAUCGAAUAAUUCGAAUCUAUGAAAACCGUCUACCCCUGAAAGAUGAAGUCAGAGCCCUUGAUGACCUGAGUGAGAACCACAAUGUUCUAAAUAAUAUCGAGAAUUUGAAGGCUGUUGGAUCAAAAUGUUUAACUUUAUUCCGGGAAUUUCAAGAUUCCAUCACGAAGGUACACUGGAAAGCACCUUGUUUCAGUGGUGAUGGUGAGUGGGUAGUCGGUGGUUCUGCUAGCAAAGGUGAGCACAAGAUUUACAUAUGGGAUAGAGCUGGACAUCUUGUGAAAAUCCUUGAAGGGCCUAAGGAAGCUCUGAUAGAUUUAGCAUGGCAUCCUGUGCAUCCUAUUGUUGUAUCUGUUUCGCUGAAUGGUUUGGUUUAUAUAUGGGCAAAAGAUUAUACUGAGAACUGGAGUGCAUUUGCUCCUGAUUUCAAGGAGCUUGAGGAAAAUGAGGAGUAUGUAGAGCGUGAAGAUGAAUUUGAUCUGAUUCCUGAGACUGAGAAGGUGAAAGGACCUGAUGUUAAUGAAGAUGAGGAAGUUGACAUUAUAACAGUGGAGAAAGAUGCUGCUUUCAGUGAUUCUGAUAUGUCUCAAGAAGAGCUAUGUUACUUGCCAUCAACCCCUAGUCGUGAUGUUCCUGAGCAGCAAGAGAAGUGUGUAGAAAGUUCUUCUAAGUUGUUGGACAGCAAUAACACUGGAUCCCCUCUUUCGGAAGAAGCUGGACCAAAUGGACAUAUGAUGAAUCAUGCAUCUAGUCCUCUUGAAGAUGAUGCUGGGCGCAUGAAAAGAAAGCGGAAACCUUCAGAGAAGGUGUUGGAAUUACAAGCAGAAAAAGUUAAGAAACCCUCAAAAUCUAGCAAAUUGGCAAAACCUAAGAGCAAAUCUUUGGCCGAUCAAGAUAAUGGUUUGAGCAGUGUUAUUAAAAAGCGGCCAUGGCGGAAUGGCGUCGCGGAAUUUUGGAAAAACGCCACCAAAUAGCAGUGGCGUUGCGGGUUGCUUAUGGCGGCCAUGGCGGAAUCACGUGAAUGACGGAAUAGCGGAUUUUUUUAUUUUAAAAAACGUGCGUGACAGGGGUUGGGCUGACCCGAGCCAACCAUACCCGAGUUUCUCCUCUUCAGCGGCACGACCAGCAGCAGUCUCCAGCGCGACGAAUGGCGGUGUGGGCGCCGGCGACACAAACGACAACCGCAGACGACGUUCUCGAGCAUGACGGCAGCAGACCAGCAGACGACGCAUGCGAGAGACAGACGACCGACGACCAAUGCACCAACGCACGUCGACGGCGACGGCAGUGCUCUGAUAAUGCAACAAAUCACAAAGUUGUAGGAAAAAUGACGGAGUUAAAGAAAAGAUUUGGUGGAAUCUGCCAUUACUUGUUUCCCACAUCAUACCUAAGUUUAGGAUGCCUCUCAAUGACAACAAGG
Glycine soja is the source of this 2241-nucleotide RNA transcript. It is a transcript of the gene named protein RBL-like, with no coding region annotated. The transcript is spliced from 7 exons. NCBI's taxonomy places the organism in Eukaryota, Viridiplantae, Streptophyta, Magnoliopsida, Fabales, Fabaceae. The record is from RefSeq and is a predicted model, not a curated record.